Molecule: ribosomal RNA, 332 nt
Filed under: uncultured Pseudoxanthomonas sp.
Lineage: Bacteria; Pseudomonadati; Pseudomonadota; Gammaproteobacteria; Lysobacterales; Lysobacteraceae
Description: bacterial SSU rRNA
Rfam family: Bacterial small subunit ribosomal RNA
Source: RNAcentral
UGCGUAGGUGGUUGUUUAAGUCUGUCGUGAAAGCCCUGGGCUCAACCUGGGAAUUGCGAUGGAUACUGGGCGACUAGAGUGUGGUAGAGGAUAGUGGAAUUUCCGGUGUAGCAGUGAAAUGCGUAGAGAUCGGAAGGAACAUCUGUGGCGAAGGCGACUAUCUGGGCCAACACUGACACUGAGGCACGAAAGCGUGGGGAGCAAACAGGAUUAGAUACCCUGGUAGUCCACGCCCUAAACGAUGCGAACUGGAUGUUGGGCACAACUUGGUGCCCAGUAUCGAAGCUAACGCGUUAAGUUCGCCGCCUGGGGAGUACGGUCGCAAGACUGAA